GCAAUGAGCUUGGUCAGUUGCUGGCCAAAGGUUUCAAGUCAGGUCUCAAUGCGCUUUAAGUGUUGCUUAACGGUUUCCUUCAUUUUUUUUAAGCAAAAGAAGAAAAAAUGAUUAAUAUCCAAAUAAGUAAUAAAUAAUAAAGAAAAUAAAGUAAAGAAAAAUAAUAAUAAAUAAUAAUAAAUAAAAAUAAAAAUUGGGUUGCCUCCCAACAAGCGCUUGUUUAACGUUGUUAGCUCGACG
This 240-nucleotide long non-coding RNA is filed under the name Gossypium barbadense (sea-island cotton). RNAcentral describes it as "long non-coding RNA (GBAR_LNC015068)". The record is from RNAcentral. Lineage: Eukaryota; Viridiplantae; Streptophyta; Magnoliopsida; Malvales; Malvaceae.